Molecule: non-coding RNA, 1881 nt
Organism: Pelobates cultripes (western spadefoot toad)
Lineage: Eukaryota; Metazoa; Chordata; Amphibia; Anura; Pelobatidae
Source: the annotation of a GenBank genome assembly
GUAUCAUCGGGGACAGAUCAUCGGUUGGAAACCAGCUGCUAUUUUCUGGCUUUAGAUAUUUAUCAACUGUUCAUUAUAACAGCUUACCAUAGGUAGUUAAUGGCAAUAAUGAAAAUGAGCCCUGAGUGAAUACAAUUUCUAUUUUAAUUUCAACCUUUGUGCAUGUGAAGUGUGUUGUAACACUGCGCGAUUGAGGUCUCUGGUUUAGCUGGACAGAUGGCACAAUUUGGCAUUUUAUUAUCACAAGUUCUGAAUGAGGUAAAAAUGGCUUCAUGGAUUAGCGGUUUUCCAGAUGUCUGUAAUUUUCUCUGUUUUAAAAUGCUAAAAUUCAAGAAUUACGUCUGAAAAGUCAAGCCGCGUGCGGUUUCCAUUGUGUUUUAUGACACGUAUGUUUUUUGUUUUUUUUACGAACCUAAAAGAGUUCUUCAAAAAUUGUAUGUAUUAUUAUACAUUAAGAAAAAUUCUAGCACUUUUGAAAUCGAUAUUCCUAAUUAUUGUGAGGACAGAGGUGCUUUUUGUGAACUGCGGAAUCAAAUAUAUACUAUAUAAACAAGCUCCAAGCGUCGCUUCAGAAACAAUGCUGAGAUUUAAUUUAAGGCACAUUAAAACCUUACAAAAAAAAUGUUUUAUUAAAAACACUGAGCGUGUGAUGCACAUCUAGGUCAACCUAUACCUGUCAUUUAAUUCACUUUUAGCACUUAGGCAGACAUAAAGCAAAUUAUUGCGGCCAGAGAUUAGCAUUCCAUGCUACAAAUAUUCUCGAGGCAAACGACGUCGUACGUCCCAACAUUUCUAAUGGACGAUGAGGGACCCUUUCACUUUAGGGGUGUGGCCAGGGGCGACUGUUCUAAGAAAUUUUAGGUGACUUACUAAUAAAAAUGUAUACAACUAAGAAGAAGAACAAUGGAUCUUAUUUACACAGACUGAUUUCUAAACAAAUGUAUUGUAUUUUAAAGACACAUUACUGGGAGUAUUAUUGCUGUGGAGCUCUGUUAUACACUCAGACACAUUACUGGGAGUAUUAUUGCUGUGGAGCUCUGUUAUACACUCAGACAUUACUGGGAGUAUUAUUGCUGUGGAGCUCUGUUAUACACUCAGACACAUUACUGGGAGUAUUAUUGCUGUGGAGCUCUGUUAUACACUCAGACACACCAACAACACGGAGCUCCUAAAAAAGAGGGACAGAGGGAUUUGAUUCCAAAUAUAAGAAACGUUCCAUCCUAAGGUCCAAUCAAGGUUCAGAUGGCUCUCCAUGCACUUGGUAGUAGAUGGAGGCAGGGUAUUUACACUGUAAAGCGUUAAAAAUACCAAAAGGAAGAAAUAAGGAUUUUGUUGCUCUAAAAAGCUCACUAGAUAUUUAUUUCAUUUCUAUAAGUGCUUGAGAUUUACUAAUUCCAUAUCAACCUGUGACCUUACAUACAUGCGCUGCAUUAAUUCCAACCCUGUGUGUUACUCUCGAACCUGUACCACGAGCCCUUUAUAAUGGUUUGUUGAGGGCUAUGUGCGUAUGUGUAUAUACAUGUAUACUGCUUACUGGACUCUUAACACAUCCUUCAAAUCUCUUGCGCUAUUUUACUUGCUUUUGUCAGAGGCUCGUGCACAACCCUUGAGCGUUGAAAGGUUUAAAGUAACUUCUAGCGGACUUGCACAGGAAAUCCACGAUUGCACAAAAUGGCUGCCGCUUACAAUGGGAGAAUUGGCUUUUGUCGAAUUCAGUAUUGUAUAUUUCAUUUCUAUUUUACAAAGUAUUGGUACUGGAAAUAAAAAAAAAAUAAAAAAAUGAAAACAAAAACAUUAAAUAUUGGGUGCGAUUAUAUAUUUAAAAGAUUUAUUUUAUAUCUGUGUCUCAUUUAAAGUCAUUGUUUAAAUAGCGUCGAAAAG